UACGUAGGCAGCGAGCGUUGUUCGGAAUUACUGGGCGUAAAGGGUGAGUAGGUGGUGCUAUAAGUUCGGUGUGAAAUCUCCCGGCUCAACUGGGAGGGUGCGCCGAAAACUGUGGCGCUCGAGUGUGGGAGAGGUAAGCGGAAUUCCUGGUGUAGCGGUGAAAUGCGUAGAUAUCAGGAGGAACACCGGCGGUGUAGACGGCUUACUGGACCAUUACUGACACUGAAUCACGAAAGUGUGGGUAGCAAACAGG
RNAcentral lists this ribosomal RNA (253 nucleotides) under uncultured bacterium. Its description in RNAcentral is "partial 16S ribosomal RNA". It matches the Rfam family "Bacterial small subunit ribosomal RNA", at positions 524 to 776 of the family's 1533-position model. The record is from RNAcentral.